Molecule: long non-coding RNA, 344 nt
Organism: Clupea harengus (Atlantic herring)
Lineage: Eukaryota; Metazoa; Chordata; Actinopteri; Clupeiformes; Clupeidae
Source: RefSeq, a predicted model, not a curated record
CAGACCUCUACUGGAGUUGCAGUUCCUACAGAAGAAGUGGCUGGCCUCAUCCUGUUUGCUAUUAUCACCACAUUCAUCAUUCUUGCUGUCCUGCUGUUACUUGGAAUUGUGUAUAUGAGACGUGGAGGAGCUGUGAGAAACAGCAGAAUGAACCAAAGGGCUGUCCAUUCUGACACCCCUGAUGAGACAUACACAGCUCUCAACCCCAGAAGCACAUCCUCUGAGUAUGACACUCUGCAGGCCUCAGUGUAUGAGAAUCUGCAGAGAAGAGAGACGCCCCAGUCAGAGAUGGAGCUGAAGGAUCUCGGGAUGAGAUGCCAACACCAACCAUGACUUCUGGACUC